RNAcentral lists this ribosomal RNA (486 nucleotides) under uncultured bacterium. RNAcentral's name for it is "bacterial SSU rRNA". It matches the Rfam family "Bacterial small subunit ribosomal RNA", at positions 30 to 506 of the family's 1533-position model. The record is from RNAcentral.
AUUGAACGCUGGCGGCAUGCCUUACACAUGCAAGUCGAACGGUAACGGGCCUUCGGGUGCCGACGAGUGGCGAACGGGUGAGUAAUGCAUCGGAACGUACCUUUCAGUGGGGGAUAACGUAGCGAAAGUUACGCUAAUACCGCAUAUUCUGUGAGCAGGAAAGCAGGGGAUCGCAAGACCUUGCGCUGAUUGAGCGGCCGAUGUCAGAUUAGCUAGUUGGUGAGGUAAAGGCUCACCAAGGCGACGAUCUGUAGCGGGUCUGAGAGGAUGAUCCGCCACACUGGAACUGAGACACGGUCCAGACUCCUACGGGAGGCAGCAGUGGGGAAUUUUGGACAAUGGGGGCAACCCUGAUCCAGCCAUGCCGCGUGAGUGAAGAAGGCCUUCGGGUUGUAAGCUCGUUCGGCCGGGAAGAAAGUCGUAGUGGGUUAAGUACCUGUGCGGAGUGACGGUACCGGCGAUAAGAAGACACCGGCUAACCUACGU